CUUCACUCGCCCCCACGAGAUGUCUUAACUACAAAAGAGAGAAACCUUCGAACAAACCAAACAGCGUCCUACACGCCUCUCCCCUUAUAUACGUGCACCGUCUCUACUUCUCACGCUCGUCGCGUUCUCUCUCUCUCUCUCUCUCUCUCUUCCUCUCUUCAGUUCGUUCGGCUUUGUGUUGAUUCAUUCGGAGCUCGGAAUGGCCGCCGCCGCCGGAGCAGCACCCGCUCGCGCUUCGUUCGCUCUGAGGCAGGCGCAGGCAGAGCUUACCAUCAGCAGAUUGACAGAGGAGAGAAGUUUGCAGAAUUGAGAGAGAGAUGCACUUAAGCGUGACCUGGAGAUGUUGAGGAAGACAGGUGGGAGAGCAAUUCAAGUGGGAUUUCCUUUCCUGUAUGUUUGUGCGGUCGCUCUUGUUGCCCUUGCAGUUGGAUACAUUAUCCACCCGUAGCUGAGAUGGUUUUGGUCGCCGCCUAAUUGGGCUUUAAGUAGAUUGUGUAUCUCUAGGGUUCAGCAUUGUGUUGCCUUAUUUUUUCGUCUGCAAUCUCAUGUAUAAACCUGGAAGCUUUGGUAUUUCAGUUGGAGAUGAUGUGCUCUUAAAAUGUAUAUUCCUGGUUUGACUCUAUGGAUGGUGUAAUUGGAAAAAUCUUGAGUUCCCAAAAGACAAAAAUGCAAGAAAAGUUCCGCAAUCAUUGUUGUUA
Syzygium oleosum is the source of this 698-nucleotide long non-coding RNA. RefSeq lists it as uncharacterized. NCBI's taxonomy places the organism in Eukaryota, Viridiplantae, Streptophyta, Magnoliopsida, Myrtales, Myrtaceae. The record is from RefSeq and is a predicted model, not a curated record. The transcript has 3 exons.